Molecule: long non-coding RNA, 2366 nt
Organism: Thamnophis elegans (Western terrestrial garter snake)
Lineage: Eukaryota; Metazoa; Chordata; Lepidosauria; Squamata; Natricidae
Exons: 2
Source: RefSeq, a predicted model, not a curated record
UUUGCCCAGUUCUGUAUUAUUUGUCCUGCCUGGACUGAGGUGGUAACCAGCGGCACAGUUUUUGGAAGAACAGCCUAUGCCAGUUUUCAUUGGCAAGGCCCAUGCACAAAGGGGGCAAUUGACGAGGCAAGCGUGGGAAACGUAUUUCUGCAGAGAUGAGUUUCUGCCAAUCAGAGGCUGGAGCAGAUUCCCCCCCCCCCUCUCCUCCCCUUUCGAUCUGGACUGAACUUCAACCCUGUUGAAUCACAACUGACAAGAGCCUGGAUGCAAACUACAUCAGAAGGAAGAGGCUGCCAUGACUAGAAUGUUCUCUUCGGGGGGGGGGAAAUAAAACUGCAGCUGUCACUGGUGACGGAAACAAGGGAAAUGAAAACAAGUAGACAGAAACCUGAUCAUGCCACCUCCCCGAAUCACCUUUAUUCUUCAGGAAGUUUCAGUUCUCCUAAGCUGAAUGUCAAAAAGUCAAAGGUGAGGAAACAAAAAAUAAAGGAACAUGACGUUCCAAAUAUGAGUAGCUUACAUUUUAAAAAGCAUGAUGCAUGCAUUUGAAAGAUUAAAGUCAUCAAGGACCAGGACCUGAGACAACAGAUCUGAAGUUUACAACAAUGCAACAGCACCGGGAAGAGAAUUGCUAGUCAAUCUAUGGUAGCACCUCCUGCAACAUUCAUCAGCCCACUAUGACUAAUGAUCAGGAGUUAUAGAAGUUGUAUCGCAAACAUCUGGCAGACACAGUAUCAGGUUGACUUUAAAAUAUCAAGUGUCUCCAGAUGUUAUGGCCCUGAUAUAUGUCCCUUAGACAAGUCUUCCCCAACAUCUUGCAACAAAGUAGGAAUUAUUAAGCUCUUAGAAUUCCAAACUUCAUGAGCAAAGGCUUUGGGUUAACCUGUACUUUCUGAAAAUGGUGUUAUGGCAUUUGCCACAGGUUUUAAUGGGAUCACAAAUUGGUGUUGGCUGGGAAUUCUGGGUGUUACAGUAAGGAGGACACCCCAUUGGCCAGAUCUAUCUUCAAUGAAUCAGAAAAGUAUGAUUUUCUAAACUGCCUCUUUACUGAGUAGCAGUUUACUUUGAGAAGAUAUAUAUCUCAGUUUAGUCUAAGAACUAUUAUUUGGUCCAUUCAAGCUAGAAACAUGCACUGAGAGAAGAUACAAAAGUAUGUUUAGAGAUGGAGGAUGGUUUCUUUGAAAAAUGCAUAAAGAAACAGUAUGUCCUUAUCUAUUUUUUUUCUUUGUGAGUUUAAGACUUUUUAGAAGAAAGUUCAGCUUUAGAAAUCCCUCAGAAUUGCGCUGUAUUGCAAAUCAUCUUUUUGUAGGUCAAGUUGUUAUGUAUUCUAAGAAAUGAAUAAAGAAUUAUUUCCCCAGAAAUGCAAUUGCUGUAACUCUAAUAUCCAACCCACAGGAAGGUGUAAAUUCUUUAUUGUUAGCAUAAGAAACAUAAUUUGAAGAAGAAUGUUUAUUUAGUUUUUAUUCAGAACCUUUUACCCACAGCCAGAGAAAAAUUUUCUUAAACAGGAAAAAAAACCCAGAAGGGAAUAAGUAUUUUUCCAUUCUCAAAUAUACACUUUACUUAUUUAUAAGAAACUAAGACUGUUUUGCAGAGUGAUUUAAGAGGAUAAGAGUAAAAAUAUUGGGGGGGGGGGGGAGAGAUCUAACCUCAUCCAGGAAGAAUUUUGAGCUGAAGGGCUCAAGUGAGUGUAAUUGAAAGGACAGCUCUUAAGGAGAUGGUGGGGAAAUUCCACAAACUUAAAAGAAACAAAAACAUCUGUCAAAUCACAAAUGAAAAAUCCAUUUGAGUUAUGUAUGGAGAGGACAAAGUAAUUCAGGCAAUUCCAUCUGGGAGACCUUAACCCCAUCACUCCCAUCAAAGAAGCAAUAUAUUCAGAGGUAAUAAGUUCUAGAUCUCCCUUUCGAAGACUAUAAAACUUUUCCUGGUUGGGAGGCAAAGGAGGGGGAGCAUUUCGUCCCCACCAUCCAUUCAGUCAAUCCCGAAGGUGCCUUUGAGAAAUUGCAGGGCGGGAACCGGUGCAUCUGAGAGAGAUGUUUGCUUCGGCGCGCUCAAGGAGCUCAUUAGGUCAUUUUGGGGGAAAGGAGCCCAGGGGACAUAGAGAGAAGGGGAAAGCAGAAAGCAGAGGCUUGUUCUGCGAGAUGGCAAACCUAGCUGGGGGCUAUCCAGGGGAGGGCAAAAACUGGGGGAUCGAGGGAGACGAGACUUGGGUUUCCUGGCGGAGAUGCAGAAAACGACCUCACAGCUGGGAGGACGCGAGGAAGACACUUUGGGGACAGCAGAGAGAAAGGAAAAAAACCCAAGGGGAGCAUUUGGGAAGGGAGGGGGCAUUUUUCUAUCGGCAACGUUUCCGCCCGGAGCUAUUU